GCUGAUGUGGCUCAGAGGUAGAGCACUUCCUUGGUAAGGAAGGGGUCACGGGUUCAAUUCCCGUCAUCAGCUC
Molecule: transfer RNA, 73 nt
Filed under: Roseburia faecis
Lineage: Bacteria; Bacillati; Bacillota; Clostridia; Lachnospirales; Lachnospiraceae
Also listed under: 2 other names
Description: tRNA-Thr(ggt)
Rfam family: tRNA
About the family: Transfer RNA (tRNA) molecules are approximately 80 nucleotides in length. Their secondary structure includes four short double-helical elements and three loops (D, anti-codon, and T loops).
Source: RNAcentral